Non-coding RNA from Pelobates cultripes (western spadefoot toad), 336 nucleotides. The record is from the annotation of a GenBank genome assembly. NCBI's taxonomy places the organism in Eukaryota, Metazoa, Chordata, Amphibia, Anura, Pelobatidae.
GGGUGACUAGUGACAGUGAGAGAGGGGGUGACUAGUGACAUAGUGAGAGAGGGGGUGACUAGUGACAGAGUGAGGGACGGGGUGACACAGUGACAGAGUUAGGGAGGGAGUGACUAGUGACAGAGAGAGGGAUGGGGUGACUAGUGACAGUCACCCCCUCUCUCACUAGUCACCCCCUCUCUCACUCUGUCACUAGUCACACCCUCUCUCACUCUGUCAUUAGUCACCCCCUCUCUCACUCUGUCACCAGUCAUCCCUUCCUUCCCUCACUCUGCCACUAGUCAUCCCUUCCCUCACUCUGUCACCAGUCACCCCUUCCUUCCUUCACAAUGACAG